GGGCAGCAGAGAGAGGGAGACCUAGAAUCUGAAGCAGGCUCCAGGCUCUGAGCUAUCAGCACAGAACCCGACGAGAUCAUCACCUGACCUGAAGUCAGAUGCUUAACCAACUGAGCCACCCAAGUGCCCCAACUUUAGGAUUUUAAAUGAACUCUGUACUCCUGGGGUAAAUACCCUGAUGACAUCCUAACUUUAGGAUAUUUUAACUUUUAGGGGCCCUAACUUUAGGGGUUUUUUUUAAUGUUUAUUUAUUUUUGAGAGAGAGAGACAGAAACAGAGCAUGAGAGGGGAAGGGGCAGAGAGAAAGGGAGACACAGUAUCCGAAGCAGGCUCCAGGCUCUGAGCUGUCAGCCCAGAACCUGACACAGGGCUGGAACCCAUGAACCACGGGAUCAUGACCUGAGCCAAAGUCGGACACUUAACUGAUUGAGCCACCCAGGCGCCCAUAACUUUAGGUUUUAAAUCAACUUUGUACUCCUAGGGUAAAACCCUUGAUGACAUCCUAAAUCAGCUUUUGCUAGAUUUGAUUUCUCCUCCUCCCUCUCCCCGUUAUCCUCCCCCUUCUCUGCCCCUCCUCCUGGUGCAAAGGGAUGGUUUGGUAAAGCAUGGGGACAGGAUCUGUGGGCAGAAAGCACUGCCGAUUUAUUAUCCUUUUACAUAGUGUCACUAGUGUUCAUGUAUGAGAUUUGCCUGUAGUUUUCUUCUCUUGGACUGUUCUCAAAACUCAGUUUUUACCAGUUAUUGUAUGUUUCCCAAUAGACUAUACUUGUGAAGUUGCACGUUUUAAUAUAUAUUCAAAGACUCAAAUUUUAAUGUAACUGUAUUGUACUGAGACAGUAAAAACCUUGGGAACAAGCCUCUAUGCCCCUGGGAAGCUCCGUGCUGGCCAAUACCACUUCUCUUGCAGAGCAAGACACCAGCUAAGGAUCAGAGCAAACUAGUCUGAGACACAGUGUCUGCCAGAUUUGACCUUUUACUGACUUUUGCCCUCAUUAUAAUAGUGAAAAUCACAUGCAAGGGGUGGAGAUUUUAACAUGUUAGACACAUAACACAUGAAGAAGUGUGACCUUUAAUUUUUUUUAAUGUUUAUUUAUUUAUUUUUGAGAGACAGAGACAGAGCACGAACAGGAGAGGGGCAGAGAGAGAGGGAGACACAGAAUCCGAAACAGGCUCCAGGCUCCAAGCUGUCAGCACAGAGCCCGACGUGGGGCUCGAACUCACAAACCAUGAGAUCAUGACCUGAGCCAAAGCUGGACACUCAACCAACUGAGCCACCCAGGCACCCCAGAAGUGUGACCUUUAAAUGCACAGGUCUCACUUUCUGGGAAAAGACAGAUUACGUGAUGUGAGGACGUAGCAUUCCCGAGUAAGCGGUGCCUUGUCACUGACCGGAGAGUUCAUACCAAGAUUCAGAGAAGAGCUGGAAGAGUCCUUUGGGCAGAUGUUGGACUCACUGGCCAUUUCCCAAAAGCAGCCUGAAAAUGACCAAGUCCUAGUUCCUGGCUCACAGCUCCCCAGAUCCUUGGAAUUUCCUAAAUACUGAGAGUGAUAACAGUGUCUUUUGUUACACGAAUGAUGACUUCUUGGAAGCCUCCAAGGAAGAGGGCUGGUUGCCGGGAGAAUCAAUCAUGUGUUAAGAGGGUUGGAACUUUCAGUCACACCCCCCUGACCUAAGGGAAUGGGAAAAGGGUAACACUCACCUGAGGAUGUGGCCGUGCACUUCACGUCAGAGGACCGGCAAGUACUGGAUGUGGUCCAGAAGAAGCUGUACUGGGUUGUAAUGUUGGAAACUUACAGCAACCUCAGAUGAAAUAAAGAACAAUAGGGUCUGUAUCAACCCCCAGGCACAGCUGGACAGCCAAGGAAUCUGUGGGAACCCUACUAGCUUGGGCUUCCUGAACAUGACCAUGAAAUGGCUGCCAUUGUUCCAGACAUCACCACCAUGGCCACAUAACCUCCCAAGCCAGGAGAAUGGGGAUGGGCAGAAAAACAGACUUCAUUAAUAUGCCUCUCUCAUUUUAUAAGGAAGGAAAAUCUGUUCUGCCGUCUUUGCAAAACCUCUUCUUACUUUCCACUGGCAGAACCAAGUAAUAUACCCAUUUCUAGACCAAUGCCUCACACACACACACACACACACACACACACACACACACACAGUUUUAAUGAAGUUGCCCUGAUUGGCUUACGAUGAACGAAAUUGCCACCUGGAUAAAAUGGAGUCCACUUAUCAAGGAAUAAAGGUGGUAGAUAACUGUAUAGGUAUAGAUCUCCAAAGGAGUUCUCCCUUGCUGGUUCCUGGGGACGUAGAAAGUAAUCAGACAUGGACUCUGACCGACUGGAUGAAGAGAUGAGACAGUGAAGGGCUUGUGUCACUGACUUAGGUCCUUUGGGUUCUCCAAGCAAUAGAAAUUUACUAGAGGCAUUGACUAGAGGAGUUUCAGGCUUUCAUUGGAGCUUAUGCUCAAGCACAAGGGUACUUUGUGCUGGCUCUCUGGCAAAGGCCAGAGAACGUUCUUUAAAAGAGACUGAGAUGGGGCAGGAGUGACUCUAAGUCAUGUAGUUGGGGAGAGAUACAGGAAAUUGGGUGCACAGGUAUAGUGAACAGAACAUGCUUCAUCGUGCAUUGCAUGUCUCAUUAGUAUGUUAAAUCUCCACCCCUGGGAGUGUUUUUAGUAUUAUAAUCGGGGAAGAAGUCAGUGAAAGGUCAGUGCUGGGGUCCACUCUUGGCGCAGGCUGGUUUCAAUUUGUCUUUGCCAGUCGAGACCCUCCUUUGGUAAGCAUCCUGCUCCCACAUUCCUGCAAAAUAUGCUACUUAAGGGGCCUAGGGCUUCACCUAUCAAGGGACACUGGGUUGCUUAAUCAGGAUUGAGGGGACUCAAGUCCAGUCCCUGCUCUGUCUCACUUGGUCACAGUAGAGUGAGAGUAUACAUAGUGAUAGAGAGAUGCCUGGGUUUUUAUGCGAUCCUCCAAAAGAAACAGCUAAACUCAGACUGACAAGACCUAGUAGUAUAGAGAUGUUGCCUAGAGGGAACAUCUAGGCUGGGUCUUAGAGGCUCAGGUAAAGAAGAGAAAGAAAAUUGCAUUCCAGGCGGAGGGGAGUGAAAAUGCACAGGAGAGAGGCCAAGAAAUAGGUUAAGUUGGUUAUUGGAGCGUAGGUAGUGAGGCAGAGAGCAGUAAGUGAUAGCAAGUGCCAUCUCUUAGAGGCUCUUCACUGCUACAAGAAGGACUUGGACUUUCUUCUUAAGGAAAUGAAAAGCCAUUGGGACCAUACCAAAAUAGAAAGCUUCUGCACAGCAAAGAAACCCGUUAACCAAACGAAAAGACAACCUAAUGAAUGCGAGAAGAUACUUGCAAAUGAUAUAUCCAAUAAGGGGUUAAUAUUCAAGAUCUAUAAAGAACUUAUACAACUCAACACCGAGAAAACAAAAACAAAAACAAAUAAUCUGAUUUGAAAGCGGGCAGAGGACCUGAAUAAACAUUUCUCCAAAGAAGCCAUCCAGAUGGCCAACAGACACAUGAACAGAUGUUCAGCAUCUCUAAUCACCAGGAAGAUGGAAAUCAAAACCGCAAUGAGAUACCACCUCACACCUAUUCAAAUGGCUAGAAUCAAAAAGACAGAAAUAACAAGUAUGGUGAGGAUGUGGAGAAAAAGGAACCCUCAUGUUGGUUGGAAUGUAAAUUGGCGCAGCCACUGUUGGAAACAGUAUAAACGUUCCUCAAAAAAUUAAAAAUAGAAACAAAAGUAGAAAUUCGACUACCGGGUAUUUAUCCAGAGAAAGCAAAAACACUAAAUUAGUGUUUCAUUACUGUUUAAUUAUUUUUGAAUUAAAAGAAUAAAAGCACCCUUAUGUUUAUUUGCAGCAUUAUUUACACUAGCCAGUGGGGUGCCCAGGUGGCUUAGUUGGCUAAGUGUCUGACUCUUGAUC
Long non-coding RNA from Acinonyx jubatus (cheetah), 3926 nucleotides. RefSeq lists it as uncharacterized. The record is from RefSeq and is a predicted model, not a curated record. Lineage: Eukaryota; Metazoa; Chordata; Mammalia; Carnivora; Felidae. The transcript is spliced from 6 exons.